CAGCGGCAAGUCGUGAUGAAUGGUUGUGGCACUACCGUCUUGGACAUUUGAAUUUUCGAGAUCUCAACGUGUUGCAAAAGUAUGAGAUGAUGACUGGACUGCCUAGUAUCAAUAUUCCAGCUGAGAUAUGUGAAGAGUGUAUACAAGGGAAGCAACACAAGAAUAGUUUCAGCAAAGAUGCAGGUCAUAGGACUAAACAUCAGCUUGAGGUGGUGUAUUCCAUGUGUGCGGACCAAUGCAAGUCAGUUCGUAUGGAGGUAAUCGAUAUUUUGCCACAUUUAUCGAUGAUUUUAGUAGGAAGCUUUGGAUUUAUCUCAUAAAGAGGAAGGAUGAGGUGUUUGAGGUGUUUAAACUAUUUAAAUCCAUGGUUGAGCGGCAAAGCGGUCACAAACUCAAAAUUCUCAAAACUGAUGGCGGGGGCGAAUUUACUUCGAGAGAAUUUGGGAAGUAUUGUGAUGAUGAGGGUAUAGUGCGUGAGGUUGUACCAUCCUAUACGCCUCAGCAAAAUGGCGUGGCCGAGAGGAAAAAUCGGACAAUUAUGAACAUGGUGCGUAGCAUGUUGAAAUGGAAGAAUUUGCCGAAAGAGCUUUGGGGAGAAGCUGUUGCUACAGCCGCCUAUGUGUUGAAUAGGUGUCCUACAAAGAAGCUGGAAAAAGUGACUCCAGAAGAGGUAUGGUCUGGAUUCAAACCGAAUUUGAGUCAUUUACGCGUUUUCGGUUCGGUAGCAUUUCGACAUAUUCCGGGACAGCUUCGAAAGAAGCUUGAUGACAAGAGUGAAAUGAUGUUGCUUGUCAGAUAUCAUCCUACCGGAGGCUACAAGUUGUUUGAUGUGAGUAGCAAGAAGAUCGUAAUUAGUCGAGAUGUGAUCGUGGAUGAGAUAUGGCAGUUUGACAGCAGAAAAACUGCCAUAUCAGCUCAGGAAAUCGAUUUGCCAAUCGAUUUAUGCCACAAAAAUCAACAUCCUGGAGCUACUGGUGAAGUGGCAAUCGAUUUGCCAAUCGAUUUCUGCCACAAAAAUCGACAUCCUGGAGCUACAGGAGAAGUGUCAAUCGAUUUUCUGCAGAAAAAUCAGAAUUUUGCUUCUGGGGGGUGGAAAUCGAUUUACCAAUCGAUUGUCAGCUCGAUUGUCAGCAGAAAAAUCAACAUUUUGGAGCCUCUGAAGAGCUGGAAAUCGAUUUGCCAAUCGAUUUUCUGCAGGAAAAUCAGAAUUUUCAGCCUGCUGAAGGUGCUNNNNNNNNNNNNNNNNNNNNNNNNNNNNNNNNNNNNNNNNNNNNNNNNNNNNNNNNNNNNNNNNNNNNNNNNNNNNNNNNNNNNNNNNNNNNNNNNNNNNNNNNNNNNNNNNNNNNNNNNNNNNNNNNNNNNNNNNNNNNNNNNNNNNNNNNNNNNNNNNNNNNNNNNNNNNNNNNNNNNNNNNNNNNNNNNNNNNNNNNNNNNNNNNNNNNNNNNNNNNNNNNNNNNNNNNNNNNNNNNNNNNNNNNNNNNNNNNNNNNNNNNNNNNNNNNNNNNNNNNNNNUGACAUGGGCAAAAGUUGCGAAUUACUCGGAUACACCGACUCCAAUUGGUGCAAAGAUAAGGACGAUCGGAAAUCAACGGCCGGUUAUGUUUUUAUGUUCGGAGGGGCACCAAUCUCUUGGUGUUCUAAAAAGGAGCCGGUGGUUGCUCUCUCUUUCUGCAAGGCGGAGUAUAUCGCAACUUCGUUAUGUGCAUGCCAAGUUGUGUGGCUAGUGAACCUGUUGCGUGAGCUGGACAGCAACACGAGAGGAGUUGUUUUGUUGUUGAUGGACAAUGUUUCAGCCAUCAACCUUGCUAAGAAUCCCAUAGCACAUGGGAGGAGCAAGCAUAUUGAGAUGAGGUUUCAUUAUUUGAGGGAACUAGUGAGUUCCGGACAGUUAUUUUUGGGGUAUUGCAAAAGCGAAGAACAAGUUGCAGAUCUGUUUACGAAAGGCGUUACGAAUGAGGUUUUCAACAAACUUGUGAUGAAGCUAGGCAUGAAGAAUGUAGAGCAUUUGAAUUAAGGUGGUGUAUAGGAAGUUAAAUAUAAUUCAAAUGUUGUUUUGGGCCAAAAUUAAUUUGGUUCCACAUUGUACCCCAUAUAAAUACUUUUGUGUGUAUAGUUUUAAAGACUAAUGCCAUUUUGAUAUACUGAUGAAAAAAUCAGAAAAUAACUCUCUUCCAUAAUCUCUCUCUUUUCUCCAUCAUUUUCUAAAACACCACAAUUUUCAAUUAUCAAUUUUCACCAUUAAUUCACCCUCCAUUUUUGAUAGUGUUCCAACAUUUUUUACCUGCAGUUUUUUAUUUGAACUAAAUAACUAUUUCUUAAAUAAAAUAAAAAUAUCAAAUUUUAAAUACGAAUCAUUAUAACUUUCAUAGUAAAUUUUGUUCUCUUAUGGAGAAUAGAUAAAUUUAUUUAUACCUUCACUUGUAGAUAUCUUAAAAGUUUAAAAUAAAAUAAUUGGACUGUCUUUGUGUCCUGAUGAAAUCUUCCAUGAGAACUACAAAAUUGGUAUAUGAGUCUCUUUGUGGUAUCGGUACAAUAAAUUCAAGAUUUUGAAUAGCAAAUAGCAUUAUUACAUAACGAGUUUAUUGAAGGAAAACUAAAUUCGGAUAGCAAAUAAUAUGUACAUAGGAGAAUAAUAAAUUAGAGCGCAAAGGGCUUAUAGGUCUUGAGUUCAGAGAUAAUUCCUUCAAUUGAUCCAACUCCAGCAACAAGAGUGACAAUCAAACAAAACCCACUAAGCGAUUUCAUUCCAAUCCACAUAGGAGAAUAUUUUGUCACUUUAGAUUGUACAAGGUACAUCUCCGUUGGAAAGUACACUGUCAAAGGAAAGAACGACAUUGCUCCUAACAAACCCACAAUGCUGUUGAAAAAUGGAAAUAUCAUAGCAAACAAUGUUGUGAAUAUCACAUACAAUGUUCUCCAUAUCAACCUAAACAUAUUCAUUCUCCAUAUCCCAACCAAUGGAAUUUUUACAUAAUAUUCUUUUGUCAUUAACUUGCUUUCUGGCCAACGUUUACUACCCCAACUUUCCACUAAACUAAAUACUGGUUGUGCAAAUACCUGUACAUAUACACAGUAAAUAAAUAUAUUUUUAAUAGAGACCAAAAUUAAAUUUAAAUUUUUUAUAGAGACCAAAAUGUUCAUUUAGCAACAAUUUUGUCCACAAAAUAAUAAUUUACCUGAUAAGCUCCCACAAGAUGAAUAACGAUGAAAAUAUUACCAAUAUCAACUAGCCAAAAUGGUUCAUAAAAGCCAAAUCCUGUUAAGAAGUUUCCUGGUGCCUUGUUUCCAAAUGCUUCAUAUCCUAGAAGACCACAUAAUGCAUAAAAGAAUGUGGUCACUGUGAUUCCAGUGAAGACAGAUUUUUUCAUGGCUUGAUUCUCUGGUGGCCUUGAUUGUAAUGUGUCCUGUAUUCAAACAAAAUUGAAAUCAAAUUCUUAUACUAAAAAACAAUGAGAAUUCACAUAUGUAAUUAAGCACUUGGUUUGCUUAAAAUUAUUACUUGCCUGUAUCUCAACAAUGACCGUACUGAAAGCAUAUGCAAAAGCUAUGUCUCCAAUUGCUUGAAAGGUAUUCCAAUACUUCUGAGAACUUGUUUCAUCCACUCCAACAACAAGCCCUGUUAGCCCUGUCUCCACAUGGUGUCCUGGUUCUGUAUAUUCCAACAACAAAACAAAUCAAAAUAUUCAAUACUAUCUCAUUGAUUGGAGAAACUGAACUCACAUUGUUAGGUAUGUUAAGAAAAAAAUAUGUGUAUGUAAAUGAGGGAAUGUCCAUAUUCUAUAUAUUAUAAGAGACUAUAAAAACUGUUAAUUGAUUGGUAGGUUAACACAAAAUAGUAAAUAAAGUAGAUUAAACAAAUGGUAUAUUUGAAAAGAAAAUAUGUUAAACCAAAACAUCAUAUCAUUUUAUAGAUAGGUAAAGGUAUUUUAAAAAUUCAGCAAUUCAUUGAAUAUAAAAGGAUAUAAUUGUAAAUAAAAUAGUUACUUCCUCCGUUUCAUUUUAAUUGUUAUAUUUGAAUUGUUUGCAAUUCUUAAAAUAAUAAUUAAUUUAAAUUAUUUCAAUGAUAAUAUAAAUAUUAUUUACUCAUAUAUUCUUAUUUCUUGUAGUUAAUAAAGAAGUUUGAUUAGUUAAGAAAAAUAAAUAAAAAUAUAAAAGUAAAAAAAAUAAUUGUAUUUUAUUAAUACUAUAAAAUGAUUAAUAAUUUGAGAUAAAAAAGGUAAAACUAUGAAACAUUAUUUAAAAUGACAAGGAUGUAGUAUAUUAAAAUAUGUAUGUCAUCCAUACUUAUAUACUCUAUAGAUGUAUGUGUCAUAUAAGCAUAUUUUUUAGGGACUUUAUAUACAUAUCAUCUUUUUUUUUUAAAAAAAAACUAAUCAAUAUAUUUCACAUUGAUCACAUUUCUGAGAUAUAUAUAUAUAUAUAUGUAUACAAAAUCCUAUCUUUGAGUGCAAUUUAUCCUUAAUUUUUUAUUUAAUAAGUAAGAGCUAUUAUGCCUAACCUGCAAUUUUGGCUAUGGAGAGACCAAUGCCUAUGGAAGCAUAACCAAAAGACAUGACGGCUGCAUUGAUCACAUUUCGGGGAUAUAUAUAUAUAUAUACAAAAUCCUAUCUUUGAGUGCAAUUUAUCCUUAAUUUUUUAUUUAAUAAGUAAGAGCUAUUAUGCCUAACCUGCAAUUUUGGCUAUGGAGAGACCAAUGCCUAUGGAAGCAUAACCAAAAGACAUGACGGCAGCAACAAAAGAGAGCCAUGAAAGUUCAUGGAAAUCUGGAAUUUGGCUUAGUAAAAUCUCUGAAACCCCAAAUAUUGCCAUAAAUGGAUAAUUUGAUGUUUUGCAGUUUGCUUCAUGCCCAUACUUAUGAAAGCAAUUGGAUUUUUUGAUGGCCCUGUUUUACAAACAAAAAAUUAUUAUUAUUAUUAUUAUUAUUAUUAUUAUUAUUAUUAUUAUUGUUAUUAGUUACAUUUUUGCUUGAGUAUUAUUAUAUGAAAAUAUUUCAUUUAUAUUCUCAUAUAAUAUAACUUUAUAAAUUUGAAUUUCUAUUUUUACAUUCACAUAGUCAAAUACCGUGGUUGUUUGAUUGGACAUUCUAGAUGUAAUUUUGGUAUUUUAAUUAAUAAAAAUAAAAAUCCAUUUUAAAUUGUAUUUUUUGAGAUCUUUUAAUUGGACAAUUGUUGAUGUUCCAACUUUGUAAAUGUAAGAUUUCACUAAUUGAAUCUAAUUUCUCAUAAAUUCAGUCAAGAUUUUUGUUGAAUAACUAAAUUAUUUAUGUGCUUACAACAUAAGCAUUUAUUAAAUAAAUGCAACAAUUUUCUAUUUAUCUAACAAAAGAUAAUCAAUUGAAACCAAUUUUAUAUGACCUAUAAAUUGGAUUUUAUAUAGUAUACCAAAAAAUUUAUGAAAAUAAAAUGAAAAUAUAUUAACAACAUGUUAUAAACUUUUUUCUUAACCUCACUAAAACAAUCUUAACCUCACUAAAAUAAAUCAAUUUAAACAAUUAUAUGAAAUAUUUAAUAGGUUCUUACACCAUGCUGAUGGAUGCCGUGAGAGUGUAACCAAUGGUACAACCUAUAAGAUUUGUGUACUGAGCCAAUCCACAAAACAUGUACUGAGUUCCUCCUGUAGAAAAAAAGAGAUAGAAAGGUUACAAACAAUACCACAUUCAAAUAAGAUAAGUGUGGUCUGUUUUAUGUGCAUUGCGAGUUAUUGUAAGGUCAAAUUAAAUAAAUAAUAAAUAAAUAUUAAAAAAAUUAUAGACUAUCCAAUAUUUUUAAAUCGAAAAUUAUAUAAUUAUUUUAGAAUACGUCAUUCUAUAUAAGAUAUUACAUUUUUUCUUUGACUCAAUUCAAGAUAUGACUAUAAUGUUGACUCCUCAACAUAUAAGAAAUCAAAUUUGGUCAUUCUAUACAAAUUGACAAUAGUACCAUCUGAACUUUUUUUACAUAAUAAACACCCAAAUAUAUGACUAGAAAUUAAAACAUUAAAAAAAAAACUUGGGUAUUUUUUUACUAAUAUUACCUAGAAUAUUUUUGACCAUACCCAUAUAGGUAUGGUUUCUGGUUCCAUGAACAGGAUCAGGAUACCUAUAACAAUCAGCUAGAAGAAAAGAAGUGAGGAGAGUGAUGAGAGAGAAAAGAAUGAGAACAAUUGAGCCAGCAAUCCAUCCUAAUUGUGCAAUAGCCCAUGCCAAUGAUAACACUCCAGAUCCUAUUACAGCUGUCACUAUGUGUGCACUUCCUGUUACCCAUGUUCCUUCAUUUUCAUACAAAAUUAUUAAUGUUAAAUUAAAAACAAUGAAAAACAAAUAUCAAUAUAUUAGAUGCAUAAUUUUGAGUAUUCUAACCUGUACGUUUUAGGCGACCAUCAUCAUCGUAUUUACCAUCAUUAAUUGGCAAGCUACUACUGUGCAUCAUGACUCUCUCUUUCUCUCUGAUUAUUUUUUAAAAUUCUUAUCAAAUAGACAGUACCUAUUUGAAGAAAAGAAUUAUGGAAUAUGUUGAACCAAAUUUGGCACUUAUUUAAUGCUCUGAUUUGAAUAGAUUUGCAUUUUUUUAUAGAGAAUCUACCAAAACAGUAUUUAGAUAUUUUUUAUUUUUUUUAUACUUCCCUCGAAUCUAACCUCUUCUAUUAAAUCCAAUCUGAUUGAUGUAUUUAUAUGUUUUUUUCAAUUCUAUUUUCUCUUCACAGACUAUAAAAAAAAUGUUCAAGUUUGACUUUUUGAAUCCUGCAAUUUAUUAGAUGCCUAAUCCGUUGCUUGUUCAAUCGGAUGCUUUUUAACCGAUAUGAGAUUAAGUUAUAAAUGUUAAAUAAAAUAAUUUUCCAUACACAAAAAGUAAUUUACAUUUCAAUUGUUUACCAAAAGUAUGUUAUCCUUUUCAAAAAUAAAAUAAAAUAAUCAAAAUUUAAUAUACGCUAUUUUUUUUAUCUCAAAUUAGUGUAAAAAGUUUUACAAUAUUAAUAUAUUACAAUUAUUCAAAUAAAUGACUUUAAAAGUAAAUUUUUUUAAAUUAAAUAUUUUUAAUGAUUUAACAAUUAUGAUCGAUUAACAAAGUCAAAAUUAUUUAUAAUAAAAAUGUAAAUAAAUUAAAUCCCUCAUGUUCAAUAUCAACACAAGUUAUAAAUAAAAAAGAAUUAAAAAAUGUUGCAAUUUACAAAAUCAUCUUUAAUAAUUAUUGUCAUUAUAAACAUAUAUAACUCCUGUCUCUAAAUAUAAAACUCUCUUCAUGAUUUUAUUUGUCUUUUUCUUUUUAUAAGACUCUCUUGAAUUUAUAAAAACAUUUAUUAUUUUUUUACUAACAUAAUUUUCCUAAAUUUACAUUUUUUUUACGAUCAAAAUAAAAUGCUAUAACAAAGUCAUUAAAAUUCUCUUUGAUUAUUAAAAUUUAGGACCUAUGGUUUGGCCAAAGGUCCUUAUACUUAGGGUAUAAACCAAACAAAAACAUCUAUUUAUACUAUAAACAAUUCAGUCUUAUUGCACAGUAUAUCAUAAAUAUUUCCUUGCACUAUAGUCCUCUUCAGAUAAUGUCAUUUAAUACGUAUAAUUUUAAAAUAAUACAACAUUUCUUUUUAUUAUAAAUAAAAUUUAUAUUUUAAUAUCUUAAAAUUGAAGGUGUUCGUAUGAAACAGAAAUUAUUUAUUUUAUAAUAUAUAUUUAUUUUAACCAUAAAUAAUACUUAUAUGAAAAUUAAAUAUUAUUUUAAUAUGAAUAUUUAAGUAAAAAAUAUCUUAAAAAGGAAUAUUUUUGUAGUCAUAUAAAACAUUUAUUGUUCUAUAAAUGUAUUUAUGUGAGAAAAAUGAUUAAAAACAAUGUAUUUGACUAGGUGUAAAAAAUAUUUUUUUCCAUAUAAAAUAUUUAUAUUAGAAAAAUCCUUAAGAACACUGUUUUUGACUAAGCAUUAAAAAAAAUCUGCAAUGUUGUUUAAUAAUUAGUAUAAAAUAUUAAUGAAUAUUAAAAUAAUAAAAAUAACUUUUUUCCAAUUUUUAAAUAUAAAAAUAGUUAAAAUAUUUUUAAUACAUAUCUUAUCUAAUCAUAAAUAACAAUUUGCUUUCAAUUAGGAAUGGCAAAAAAAUCCGCACCUGCAGAUAUCCACUCAAAUCCAUUUGAUUUGGGCAGGGAAAACCCGCUUUUAUUGAGUGCGGGUGCGGAUUUUCCCCGAAAUUAAAUUUCGGGUGCGGGUGAUGAUAUCCACCCCGCACCCGCACCCGAACCCGCUCCGCAAGUAAUAUUAUAGUAAUUUUUAAAUUUUCUAUAAAUAUACAUAUUAAAUAUAUUUAAUAUUUUUUUAAAUAUUAAAAAUUAUAUUCUUAUAUUUAUAGAAAAUAAUUUUUUAUGUUAUUAUUAUUAUUUAAUAACAAUUAUUUUAUUAUAUUAAUUAUAAUAGAUAUGAUUUUUUAAGUUUAUAAUUUUAUAUAUAUAAAUGGAUGCAGGUGUGGACGGGAAACCUGAAACCCGUUGUGGGCGGAGAUGAAUGUCUAAAUUUUACACCCACUGUAAAACGGGUGCAGAUGCGGAUUUUCUUCCGAUUAGUCGGAUGCGAGGGUGGAAGAAGAAAAAUCCGCCUCCAACCCGUCCUGUUGCCAUGCUACUUUCAAUCAAUUAAAAGCUGCAACCCUAUUAAGACAAAAACAAAAAAACAAAAAACAAAAAACAAAACAAAAAACUAUAACCUUAAUAGUACUGAUUAUUCACAAUUUCAUUAAUAAAUUGCAGGUAUAUUAUAAUACAAUUACAAUAAUGUCACCUCCGGGAACCAACAACAACAAAAAAGCAAUUCUUAUUCUGAAAUGUAAGGAUGUCCAUCGAAAAAUAUUAAUUUUACAUUUAGCGUCAUGAUAUGUUUAUACAUUAUUUUCAAUAGAUUUUUAUAAUAUAUUAAAAUAUAUAAUAUUAAUCAACGGUGUUUUAAAUAUGAAUCGAAUAAAACGAAAUCGUGGUAAUAAACAUGGAAAUAAAAGACCAACAAAUUCGUUAAACAUUCGUAAUUUAAUGUUUUAAAAUUUUAUAUAUGUGAUAUUGUAAUGCUCAAGUGAAUUAAGAAAAUAGUAUUCACUUCUUUGUUGAUUAGUGACCAUCAACUGUUGAUUAGUGAUCAUCAACGAUACUUCUUUUCAAAAUUUACUUCAAACCAAAAAAAGCUAACAAAAUUCAAAUUUAAAUUUUUUUCUCUAUAUUUCAUUGUUAUGAGUUGUUAUAGUACUCUCAAAAAUUAUAAAAGUUCCAUUAACUUUAAAAGUAAAAAAAAUUGUGAAUAUGACUCAAACACACAUUUUGAUUAUUUUUUUACGACAUUCUAUAAUAUUAUACUUUAAUUGUUUUACUACAAUUAUGAUUUGAUCUUUUACAAUAAAUAUUAUUUUUUGAAAUAUUAGAUUUAGUUUAAAAAAUUAUAAAUUUUUUUUUAAAUAAAACCAAAAUUUUAAAUCUAUAUACAUAUUUGUAUAUUCUUUUUUAAAUAUUUUAAUACAACGAAUAGUUAUAUAAACUAGAUAGUUUUGUACAUAUUCUAUAAAGACAAUUUUAUAAUAUAUUAUCUUUAAAUAUUACUAUUGAUUACAAAUUAUAUAAGAGAAUAAUUAGUAUAAUAUUAGACCAUCUUAUGUUAUUAUUUUUACAUAAAUCUUAUUUUAAGAUUGUAUUGAAUUAACUGAACUUUUAAAUAACUAGGCUAUUUUGUAUUUUAAGGAUAUUUUAAUUUCAACGAUUAAAGAUAAUUAUUUAUUAAAAAAAAACGUAUAAUAGAUGUAAAAGUAUUGUACGAUGUUAGGUUGAACGUUUUGUCUAAGUUCAAUCUGAGACCUCGUAUUGUGUUAGUUAAGGUUAAAUUACAUUUGUGAUCCCUUAACUUAAUUUCAGGUAACGUUUUAGUCUCUUAUCUUUUUUUUCUCCCGAUUUAGUCCUUUAUUCCUAAUAAUAUCAAAUAAAGUAUGAAAAUAUGAAUUUAUUUGAAGAUUUGCGUUACGGAUUUGAUGAAAUUUGUAUUAUAUUGAAGAAUAUAAUUAAUUUGAUGAGUUUUGAUUGAAUUUUUAAAAAAAAAAAAAAAAAAAAAAAAAAAAAAAAAAAAAAAAAAAAAAAAAAAAAAAAAAAAAAAAAAAAAAAAAAAAAAAAAAAAAAAAAAAAAAAAAAGAUAAAGGAUUAAAACGUUACCUGAAAUUAAGUUAAGGGACCACUGAUGUAAUUUAGCCGUUAGUUAAUUGUGGUAGAAUUUAUAAUCUUUUAUAAGAAAAAAAAAAAGUAUUGUACAUGUAAACUAAUAUAAUAUAUUAUAAUAUCAUUUGCUUUAUAAAUUAUUAUUUUUUAAAUUAUAUUAAAAUUAAUUAUUAAUUUAAAACUUAAUAUUAUAUAUAUAAUAGAUAACAUAUCUCUUGCAACGCACGAAGGCAUCUUCUAUCAAUGAAUUAGAUACAAACGUUUUUAUUUGAAAGACAAGAUUGGAUAAACAUGCGAUAGGAGGAGCAUGAUAGAGUGAUGAUAUGCUAUGGAUCAUGUCAUAUAUUACACAUAAUAAAUUUGACAAAAUUAGUUUAUCAUAUUUGAUGUUUGAUACAAAAAGAUUAUUUUAACAUAUUUUACAUUAAGGAUUAAAAAAUAAGACCCAGUAGAAUAUGUUUAAAAAAUAUGAUUACUCAAUAUAUCAUAUGGAUGAUAAAUGUAUUAUAUCUUGUCUAAUAUCCCAGUUUAACAUUAAAUAAUUGGUAGUAAUUAUUUUAAGUUUUAUUAUAAUUUGUAAAAUAAAUAAAUAAAAACAAAUAAAGAAAGAAAAGAACGGAAAAGAAAGGGUGAGAUGCAGACAAAAACAAAGGAGAGAAAGAAAAAUGUGAAAGAGAGAAAAAGAAAGUGAGGGGAAGAAGAAGAGAAGGAGAAAGAAAAAAAAAACAAAAAAACAAAACAUUGACAAAACAAGAAGAAAAGAAAGGAAUAGUGUUUUUUUUUUUUGCUACAAGUCACGGUAGAAAGAGUUGAAAUUAUCACUAUCUUCUCAAUUAAUUUGAAAAUCAAGAGGUGGGUUUCCCUUUUUCUAUUUUCCUUCGUGCAUGUAUAAGAUAAUGUUUACCAUAGGUUAGAAAUUUGGGAUUUAAGGGUUUGAAAUGAAGACAAUAAUUUUUAUUUUUGGUUAGAUUUAGUGGUUUUGAAAUAGAUGGUUAAAAUAGUUUAUACAUGUGAAGUUCUAUGAUUAAAAUUGAGAAUAGAAUAUUGUAUAAUUGAGUUUCCUUGAUGACAUGAAAAUAUACUUUUUUGAUGUGUUUGAAAUUAAAGACCUUGAAUUUCACUAUUGUGAAAAAUUAGUUUGAGUAAAUUACAUUUGUGAUGUUGUUUUGAUAUAUUAAUUGCUUGAUUUAUUCAUGAUCUGUAGCAUUAGUGUUUGCAAAGAUUCAUUCGGAAAUUAGUGUGGUUGAAUGAGUGUUUUUAAUUUAAAAUUCGCAUGACAUAUGUGUGUGAUGUUUUGAUCAUAACAUUUUCGGUAUACCUUAGUUUUGAAUGAUUGUUAGUUUUAAGGAAAUUAGACUCAAUUACAUUUAAUUUGAGUGCAAACUUUGUAAUGUUUGAUUGAAUAUUGAUGCUUAAAAAUGAGUUACAAAUUAGACCAGAGUUGAUGUCCUAUUUUUCUGACCUCAUGUAUUAUUUUGCUUUCUUUUGAAGGAUUAGUAUGUGCAUUAAUACAUUUGCAUGAUUUUGUAUAUGGAUUUGUAUUAACUAACUCUUUUGUCGAAUUAUGCUAACGUUCAAGUUAUAUUCUAGAUAAUUAAUGUACGGUGUUAUAUUUUUUGAUAAGUUAUAUAUAUAUAUAUAUAAAUAUAUAUAUAUAUAUAUAUAUAUAUAUAGAGGACAGCAUAUCCCCUCUUAGACCAAAUUAUCGGUUCAAAUAAUGGUUCAAUUAAAAAUAUGCAUGUGAUCCACUAUUUGUAAUCAUUUGUACAAUCAACGAAUUUAUUCACCCUAUAUGUAAUCUCUCAUUUAUAAUUAUAUGUACAAUCAAUAAUUGAGAAUAUUCACAAACAUUUUAUUUUACUUAUUUUGUAUAUACCACCUAUUAAUUAUAAUAUCAUCUAUUUAAAAAAUAUAUUAAAAGACUACCACACAUUCAACUUUAAAAAUUCUUAUGAUAACAUACAUUAUUAAGUCAAUUAUAUCAUACUAAUCAUAUAAUGUAAAAUGAAAAUCAAGAGAAUAUGCUAAUGAUAGAUUUUUCCCAAAACAACCCAAAAUUUAUGUUAUAACAACACAAAACUGAGUUUAACUGCAGAGUCAACUGACAGAAACUUAUAAGCAUCGUAAUUGAGUAAAGGAGCACUCUUUGAAAAGCAUAUGAUGUCUAGUUUAUAGACAAAAUUUUAUUUUAUUUAAGCCCCCAAUUAUUGCAAUUUAUCAAAACAAUACACAAAGUCAGAAAAAUAGGACAACAACUAUAGUCUAACUUAUAACCCAUUGUUGUGCAUCAAUACUCAAUCAAACAUCACAAAGUUUGUAUUCAAAUUGAAGGUAAAUGAGUCUAAUUUCCAGAAAACUAACAAUCAUUCAGAACUAAGGUCUAGAGAAAAAGUUAUGACUAGAAUAUCACACAUAUGUCCUACAAAUUUGAAGUUAACAACACACAUUCAAUCACACUAAUUUCCUAAUGAAUCUUUGCAAACACUAAUGCUACAAAUUAUAAAUAAAUCUAACAAUGAAUAUAUCAAAACAACAUCACUAAUGUCAAAUCAAGCAAUGAAAAUAUCAAAACAGCAUCACAAAUGUCAAUUUACUCAAACUAAUUUAUCACAAUAGUGAAAUUCAAGGUUUUUAAUUUCAAACACAUCAAAUAGUAUAUUUUCAUGUCAUCAAGGAAACUCAAUUCUAUAAUAAUAUAUUCUCAAUUUCAAUCGUAGAACUUCAUAUCCAUAAAUUAUUUUAACCAUCUAUUUCAAAAUCCUAAAUCUAACCAAAAAUAAAAAUAUAAAUCAUUUUCUUCAUUUCAAACCCUUAAACUCCAAAUCUUCAACAUAUGGUAAACAUUAUCUCAUACAUGUACGAAGGAAAAAUAGAAAAAGGAAAGCAUACAUCUUGAUUUUCAAAUUAAUUGAGAAGAUGAUAAUAAUAUCAACUUUUUCUACUUAGACUUCUAGAAGAAAAAAAAAACUCUUCCUUUCUCUUCUCCUUGUUUUGUCAAUUAUUUUAUUUAUUUAUUUAUUUACAAAUUAUUAUUAUUAUAUAUAUAUAAUAUAAAAUAAUAAUUAUUAAUUAUUUAGUUAAAGAGGAAUGUUACAUUUUAUCUCCUUAUUUGGUCAUCAAAUUGACGUUAAACGAUCUAAAAUUAUCAAAUUUUCAUCCCGAUUAACUGUCUUCAUACAAUUGACCGCAAUUUUAAUUAACGUAGAUAUUAUUAGUAACAAUCAAUAAUAAAAUCAAUAAUAGUAAGAAAACUGAUAUAUUCUAAAUAAAUUAUGUUAGUUCUUUUUCCAUCUACCUCAUAUGGUGGUGGAGUUAAAAACAUUCGAUUCACUACUAUUAAUUACUUGAUCGGUUUAGUCAACUAAAAAAAAGUUUACUUGAUCGGUUGCAUUACUUAUCUGACCCUUUCACCUUAUAAAUCAAAUAAUAGAUCUAUUUGUUUCAGUUUGUUAAAAGAUGAUUUUAUAGUAUUUUAUAUUUUUAUUAUAAGUUUUUUAUCAUUAAUAUAUAAUUUUUUAUAAUAAAAUUUCAAAAAAUUAUUAAAAUAAAAAGUUUUUUUGUUAAAUUCUUCAUAUAAAUCAUUUUUAAGAUAUAUUUUUUUAAAAUGUUAUUUUUUUAUGUUAAUUUUUUUAAUAGAGUAUCUAACUUAUUAAAUGUUAAUUUUUUUUAAAUAAAUAACAAAUGACUUUUAAUGUCCUUAAAUAAAUUCUCAUAAAAAUAAAUUUUAGAAAUAUAAAGAUAAAACCACUUUUAAGAAAAUAUAAAACAAAUGGCCCAGUAUAAUUUAGCAAUCUUUUAAUAGCUAUUAUUUUGAGUUUCGAUUUUUUUUUUAAAAUACUGAAAAUAAUAUUGGGUUGAGUCGUGAACUAUGUUGCUCUCUUUAAGACGUUUUGCGGCAUUGCUCAAAUUGUGUAAGGCAGACUAUCAAUUGCGAAAUCUCUAGGAUAAAAUAGCUCAGAUCCACUCUAUCGGAGUUCUACUGCACCGUAGAAAAUCGUUAAAGAAUUACACCAUUAAUAUGACAGUUAAAUGACUGUCGCCCAUAAUAUGGUAUUAUGACAACUCGAAUGAAAAAGAAGAAGUGAGAAAGAAAGGGGAUAAGUAGAGAAAAGUCUCAAAUGCUGACACGUACGCUACAAUCAUCUUUAGGUUUUUACCACAUAAAUGUGCGCUCGAAUCUGAUGAGUCGAACCGGACGGCGGCACGCGCAUGUGUGGUGGUCAAUUUUGCAUGCGCUCUUCCUCCUUCACAAAUUUGAGGUACCCCUUGGGGCACACCCCAAGUUUCAUACCUCUAUUUUAUAAACAUUACUAGUGUGUGUUAUCACUCAUAUGUGGGACUUCCUUAUUUUUAAAUUCACACCACACUAGCUCUCAUUAAUAGCAUCCUUAUCUCCAACAAUCGUCUAUUAAUAUCAUCAUCAUUUCCAACAAUCUCCCACUUCAAUUUAAAAUUAAGCUCUCUGAAAUAGCGUCAAACGCUUCUAUAAGAUCUUGCAUAAACAAAUGUGUCUCUUGACUUGAACCUUUGCAUAGUAAGUAAGAUUCAUAUUCAACAAGAGUGACUCAUAGUCAUGAACUUUAUCUCUGACAUCAAACUCACACACAACAUUUUCAUACAGUGAAUUCUCAAAAGCUUGUGCAUUAACGGCCCUGCACGUUUACCCCUGUAUAAAGAAUGCUUUAGGAAUUCUACCUCAAAUUUUUAUAGGAAGCGGUCCCACUUCCACAUUCACAUAGGUGAGUCUAUCAAGAGUACUCAUGUAGCUAGAUACUUCACUCCACAUAAAGUAUGUCAAUGUAUGAAUUUAAAAAAAAAAUAUUUUCAUAGAAGUCAACAUCAUUUGACUUUAUGAUCACUUUCGCAUUUAGGUAAUAAAACUUAUACGCUCUGCGGUUUACUGCAUAUCCAACAAAUAUACAUUCAUAGACUUUAGUGGCAAGUUUAAUUCGCUUGGAAUCAGAUAUUCUUACAAAGCCGGACAUUUAUAAGUUUGAAAAUAAGACAAGUUCAGUUGUCUUUUCUUCACUAUCUCAUAAAGAGAUAUUUUGUUUUUAGAUUUAGAUUUAGAAACUCUAUUCAAAAUAUAGCAAAUAAAGAAUAUAUUUUUCGCACACCAAUGAGAUACAGCACCAAAGUUAAGCAUAUUAGCAACAACUAGAUUAGUAAGAGUUUUUUUUUUCCAACUUUACCAUUCAUUUCAUGUGAAUAUGGUGCAGUAUUUUCAUGUAUAAUUCCUUGCGUUUUAUAAAACUCAUUAAAUAAACUAGAAUCAUACUUUGUUCCUCUAUCACUACGAAACCUUUUAAUCAUUUUACUAAAUUGAUUUUCAAUUUCAGUUACAAAUAUAUUAAACAUGUCGAGUGCAUCACUUUUAUUUUUCAUUAGAUAUACAAAAAUAUAGUGAGAGCAAUCGUCAAUAAAAGUGAUGAAAUAACGUUUUUCAUUUCUGAUAAACGUCCCAUCAAAUUCACAUAUAUAAGAGUGUUUGAAGUUUAAAGGUUCAGAUUCUUUAACUAUUGAUAUAUGCGAACUCUUAGUUAUUUUAGCUUGACUGCAAAAAUCACAUUUUUUUUAAACCAUGCAUUAUUGAGAAGAAACCCAUAAACCACAAAUCUGCUUCAAAAAUCACAUUUUUUAAACCCCGACUUAUUGAAAAGAAACUCAGAAAUCAUAUUCUUCCUCAUUUCUGGAGUGUGUUGACAUCCUUCAGAAAUAAGGUUUUUCUGGAGGUGAAUAUUAUGUGUUCUUCCUCUUGCACAAAAUUUGAGUACCACUUAGAAGUUGCAUACCUCCAUCUUAUAAACGUGUUAUCAUGUAAGAUUUUCUUAUUUUUUCAAUUCACACCGACACUAGCUAUCAUUAAUAUGUAACAUCAUUAUUUCCAACAAUCUUCUUUUAAUAUCGUCAUCGUUUCUAACAAUAUUCUAUUAAUAUCAUCAUUUUCAACAAUAACAAAUAAAGACUAAAUCGAAUUACAUUGAUUCAGAAUUUGUAAUCUUUUUAUAGCAAACAAUUGAAUCGGUGCAAAUAAAAAUACUGAAGAAUUGAAAUAAUUGAAUCGGUACAAACAAAAAUACAGGGGAAUUGAAUAAUUCAAUCGAUGCAAACAAAAAAUGAAAAGGAAAUUGUUACGGUGAAAAUAAAUGAUCGCAAAUUUUUAUGUAUUAUAAAUUAUUGUUGCUACAAGUAUAUUCCUCUUGGAAACCUUUUUACUUGCUACAAAAUUUAGUACCAACAGUGUACUUCAACCAUACUCUCUGUAGCAAUCAUUUUAUUUCUAUUAACAUGCAUAGAUAUAUAUAUCAAUUAAUCUGUAUAGUUUCAAUAUGAGUCAAAUAUAAUCUUUAAAAUAAUGUUUUGAUUUUUUAGCCUAAUAGUUUGUAAUGUCUUUAUUAACAUUUUAACUAUUUUCUUUAUUAAUAAAGGGACACAAUAGGUAAGCAAUUUCACAAAUCUAAAUAUAAUUCUAAUAUCGACAACGAUGAAUUGACAUUGGUUAAAUGACUGUUUUAUCCAUAAAAAUGAAAAAUAUAAUGAACUAUCCGAAAAGUAAGUAGCAUUUGUCCGCGGGAUCACCGUCACAGUGCUUUGUAGAACUGACCCUAAACCUAUUGUAUUUGAAAUUCCCGAAUUUACCCCCAACUCCAAAUCACCUUGCCACCUCAUGGUGAGGGAAUACAUAGGACCCUCACCCUAGAAGCUUAAUUUUAAGCGCCAACACAAUAACAAAAGCUGCUUCAUUAAUUUUGAGAUAAAACGGAAGAAAUCGCAAACGUGCAUUACUUCACCAAAUCCAAUCACAUUAGUUGCAAAACUAGCGGCAUGAGAGAAACUGUCUCAACUUUUUAUAUACUUAAUUAUUAGUUAUUAAUCCAAUCUAGUUUAUUAGGUCGAAUUUAUUUUGUUAAAUUUAUAUUUCUUAUAUUUUGUAAUUAUGUUUCUAGAUCCAUAUAUAUAUAUAUAUAUAUAUUGAUUGUUUUCUUUAAUAAUAAGACAAGUAACCAAUUUUGCCUACUUUAUGUAACACAGUAUCAACUUUUUAUUUUCUUUUUUCUUUUUUCAUUAUCUUCAAUGGAGGAGUUUUCUUCUACCGUUAGUUCCACAACCAAAAUUAUGUUGUUGAAUGCAAACAUAAACAUAUUCUUAAUGUUGCUAGGUUGUUUUUGUUUCAUUCUAAUUUACUCAAGUAUCUUUGGUCCUAUGUUAUUAGUCAUGUUGUGUUUCUUAUUAAGAGGUUAGCCACACCUAUCUUGGGUAAUAAAUCUCCUUUUGAGAUCUUUCAUGGUAAGCAUCCUGUUUUAAUUAAUCUUAAUGUUUUUGGUAGCUUCUCAACUUUGACUAAUCACCGUGGUAAGCUUGAUCCAAGGGUAUUUAAGUGUGUGUUACUUGGAUAUAAAAAUGGCACAAAAGGUUACAUUGUUCUUGACAUUAAUUCAAGACAAAUUCUUAUUUCUAAGAAUGUCAUUUUUCAUAAAAGUAUCUAUUAUAUAUAUUUAAAACAGACCCCGAAUGCCACCUCACCGCCGAAUGCCACCUCAUUCUAUUUCAUCCACCUAUACAAAUAUUUCCCACAUCACUCAAAAAGCUGAUGUGGACCUCUCCUCUUUUCUCCUCUCUCAAACAUGCUCUCAAUGUCUAAUAAUAAUAUUAUUUAUAAUUUAUAAAUAAUAAAAUUAUUUUACAAUUAUUUAUAACAAAUUUAUAAUUUAUAAAUUAUUUUACAAUUUGAUAAUAAUUUAUAAUCUAUAUUAUUAUCAAAUUAUUUUAUAAGUUAUUUUAUAAUAAAUUUAUAAAUUAUUUUAUAAUAUUAUUAGUCAUUUACCAAUGGUAAUAAUUUAUAAUAAAUUUAUAAAUUAUAAAAUUAUUUUACAAUUAUUUAUAAUAAAUUUAUAAUUUAUAAAUUAUUUUACAAUUUGAUAAUAAUUUAUAAUUUAUAUUAUUAUCAAAUUAUUUUAUAAGUUAUUUUAUAAUAGAUUUAUAAAUGACUAAAAUUAUAAAAUAUUCUUAUAAAUUACAAUAUUUUGUGAAACUCUUCAUGUGUCAGAAGUUAUAAAUUACAAUAAAAUAAAUAUCAAUUAUUUGAUGUUUUACAAUAAAAUAAAUAUAAAUUACAAUUUAUAAAAAAUAAUCAUAAAAUAAGAAUAUAUGAAAAAUUAUUAAAAAAAUUACUUCCAAUUAUUAAAAUACAGAAAUUUAUUUAAAAUUAUAAUAUAUGAAUAUAUUAAAAAAUAUAAUCAACAAAAGUUUACUAUAUAUAUGUGUUUUGAAAAAAUAUGUUAACACUUAAUUUUUAUCAAUUAAAUUAUAUAUUUAUAAUUGAAUGCUAUUUUUUAUUUUAAUUUUUCUUAUUAUAAUGAUAAUUUGAAUGUUAAAAAAUAAAUGAAAAUUUAAGUAGUGCAUAAAAUUAAAUUAUUUUUUAAUAAAAUUUAUUAUUGGUACAUAUUAACAUAACUACAAUUUCAUAAUAAUUUAUAAUCUAUAUUAUUAUCAAAUUACUUUAUAAGUUAUUUUAUAAUAAAUUUAUAAAUUAUUUUAUAAUAUUAUUAGUCAUUUACCAAUGGUAAUAAUUUAUAAUAAAUUUAUAAAUUAUAAAAUUAUUUUACAAUUAUUUAUAAUAAANNNNNNNNNNNNNNNNNNNNNNNNNNNNNNNNNNNNNNNNNNNNNNNNNNNNNNNNNNNNNNNNNNNNNNNNNNNNNNNNNNNNNNNNNNNNNNNNNNNNNNNNNNNNNNNNNNNNNNNNNNNNNNNNNNNNNNNNNNNNNNNNNNNNNNNNNNNNNNNNNNNNNNNNNNNNNNNNNNNNNNNNNNNNNNNNNNNNNNNNNNNNNNNNNNNNNNNNNNNNNNNNNNNNNNNNNNNNNNNNNNNNNNNNNNNNNNNNNNNNNNNNNNNNNNNNNNNNNNNNNNNNNNNNNNNNNNNNNNNNNNNNNNNNNNNNNNNNNNNNNNNNNNNNNNNNNNNNNNNNNNNNNNNNNNNNNNNNNNNNNNNNNNNNNNNNNNNNNNNNNNNNNNNNNNNNNNNNNNNNNNNNNNNNNNNNNNNNNNNNNNNNNNNNNNNNNNNNNNNNNNNNNNNNNNNNNNNNNNNNNNNNNNNNNNNNNNNNNNNNNNNNNNNNNNNNNNNNNNNNNNNNNNNNNNNNNNNNNNNNNNNNNNNNNNNNNNNNNNNNNNNNNNNNNNNNNNNNNNNNNNNNNNNNNNNNNNNNNNNNNNNNNNNNNNNNNNNNNNNNNNNNUAUUUUGUGAAACUCUUCAUGUGUCAUAAGUUAUAAAUUACAAUAAAAUAAAUAUCAAUUAUUUGACACUCAUUGCUCCUCCAUUAUUAUUGAUAACGGUUAUUCAUCCAUAAACAUCUUCAAAUUAAAUAUUACAUAGUAUCAUUACUGGAAAAAAAUAUUUUUUAAUGAAAUCUAUAAUAUCUACAAAAUAUAUCACAUGUCACUUAUUAGAUAAGUAAAAUUAAUAUUUAAAUCAAAUAGAGAGAUAUAAUUUAGAGUUAGGCCAACAAUUUGUUUUUAUAUUUUUUUUUAUUAUACUCAUUACUGAUAUGGACUUAGAGAAAAAUUUAUAUAUUAAUAUUGUCACAUCAAAAGAAAUCUGAUGUAACAUAUCUAACAAAUAUUCUUCCUCUUUCUUAUUAUCAUACUUGCAAUUUAUUUUUUAUUACAUUUUUUUAAUAUAAUAUUUGGUAGAACUAUUCAUAUGUCAUAAGUUACAAAUUACAAUACAAUAAAUAUCAUUUAUCAGUUAUUCGACAUUCAUUGUUACUCCAUCAUUACUCAUAACGGUUCUUCCUCCAUCAUUAAUGAUAACGGUUCUUCUCUUUCUAUGGUUUUAACUACCGAUUAAUAUAUUGCUUCAUUUUAAAGGUUUCUCCAUCUCUUCCUCCAUCAUUACAUGUUUUCAAACUUUUUUCUUUUAGAUAAAAAUUUAUUAAAAUAGACUCCCACAUAAACAUCAUAUAUAUUAAAAUAGACUCCUACAUCUUCAUCAAAUAUUGUGCCACCUAAAAGGGCUCAUGUGGUACAUCUAAAAGUUCUGUCAUGAGAAAACAUUCUGCAUAUGUAAGUUUUUACAACUUCACUUUAUCAACUCAAAAGAAAAUCUCUUUGGAACCCAAUUAUUUUCAAAGAAGUAGAUAUAGUUGGAAAAUUCUUUUUUUUUUACACAACUUUUGAAUGAGUUGUAUUUUGUAACAUAUUAUACCUAUUUGCUCAUUUUUCUCAAAAUCUUGAUUGUUCUUAGUUAGAGUAUUGUUUUUGCAGACAUAUUUUAACUCAUUUAUGACAUGAAAGUGUAUUGGCUCCUCAAAAGACAAAGAAGAUUGUCCACAUUCAGCUUUAUAUGAGUGUUAGUAUUGUGUAUUCGAGAGAAAACUAUGUACCAUUUAUAUUAAAAAAGUAUUUGUGGUUUUUUUACGGAGAUGUUUUAUAUUGUCAAUUUUUUUUAAAAUACUACCAAUUUUAAGUUUCUACAUAUGUUUUACCUUUACUCAACCGUACAUACGAGUUGUUUGUGAAAAUUCUCAAAUCAUGUUGUAUAGAAGUCUCAUACUUACAAUAUUGGAAUUUAAAUUUUUUACUUCUUUGACAUGAUUGUAAUGAAAUGAAUAUUAAAUGACAAACUCAUUUUUAUAAUUUUCUAACAAUAUUUUGACAAUAAAUUUAGAUUUGACAACAAAAAAAGAGCAUGAUUAAUUUGAUUUUGUGGUAGAUAAUUACAUAUAUUAAUAUUUAUUAAAAUACUUUUAAGACUUUUAACACUAAAUAUAAUUUAUGAAUUUUAUUUGUAGGAUGAUCUUUACUAUGCAAAACAUUUUACAUAUUUUCAAACGUGUAUUUGCCAACUCAUAUAUAAUAAUUACUCAAAUAAAUUCACUUGAAAAAAAUACUCUACAAACUAAAUGUGAUUAAAUUCACAACUACUAAUAUGAUGAAGUAUACAUAUUCCGCGCAACGCGCGGGUUAUAUUCUAGUUUUUCCUUAUUCUAAUAUUUCUCCAAAAUCAGUUUCAAUUGAUAUAUCUCGUGAUACCUUCAAUUUUGACUACAACUUUCUAUUUCCUUCAGAACAUUUACCUUUUGUCAUUCAAAUAUUCCAUAUGCUAUACCUUGUGCCACUCACAAUGAUGUCGGUCCAAUUGGCACUUUGUCUGCCUCGAAAAAUUAUGAUAAGCAUCAUCUCACUUCCAGUUAUGUCCCUAAGGACCCAUCUGAUCUUGUUGGACCUUGCAAAUCUCAACGACAAUGUAAACCACUUUCCCAUCUCCUUGAUUAUGAUUGUCCAACAGUUAAGGCUCCUACUUCGUCACAAAAUUUAGGUAUUUUGUAUCCUUUGUCAUUUGUCCUUUAAUAUCAAAACAUGUCUCUUCACCAUUAAUCUUUCAUUCUCGCUAUCUCUUCAAAUGAUGAGCCCACCUCUUAUACUCAGGCUUCCAAAAUCUGUUGUUGGAUUGAAACAAUGGAUGUUGAAUUGGCUGUCCUCCAAGACCAUAAUACUUGGAUCUUUGUUUCUCUACCUCCUGGAAAAAACUCUCAUUGGAUGUAAAUGAAUGUUUAAAACAAAGUACAGAUUUGAUGGUUCCAUUGAACGUCACAAGACAUGUCUCGUAGCAAAAGGGUAUUGACAAAUUGAAUGGGUUAGUUUUCUUUACACAUUCAGUCCAGUGGCGAAGUUAGCUAUUGUUCGACUUGUCUUAGCUAUUGCUGCUUCUCAAGAUUGGCAUCUCCAACAAUUGAACGUCAACAACGUCUUUCUUCAUGGCGAUUUGGAUGAAGAAGUCUACAUGACACCUCCCCUGGGUCUUAAAUUCAAUGCUCCCAAUCAAGUUUAUCGUCUCAUUAAAUCUAUUUAUGGCCUCAAGCAAGCUAGCUGCCAAUGAUUUUCUAAGCUUCCAACCUUCCUUGUCACCCACGAGUACUCAGAGUCCCAAAGUGAUCAUUCUCUUUUCACCAAGCAAUCUGCCAAGUCCUUCAUUGUCAUACUCAUAUAAAUGGAUGAUCUUAUCCAUUUUGGUAAUGAUCUUGCUAAAAUCUCUACAAUCAAAUACAAUCUUGACAUCUCUUUUAAAAUUAAGGACCUGGGUUCCCUUAAAUAUUUUCUUGGCCUUGAAAUCGCAAGAACAAAAUCUGGUAUUUUCAUUUCCCAACAUAAAUACACCCUUGAUUUGCUCACUGAUGUUGGUCUCCUGGCUACCAAACUUGUUUCGACACCAAUGAGCAGACCUUCCAUCAUCCACUAUGAUGAACCAGUUUCUAAUAUUACAACAUAUCUUCGUCUCAUUGGUCAUCUAAUUUACCUCACCACAACUCGUUCAGAUAUCACUUAUGUUGUCCAACAACUUAGUCAGCACAUGUCUUCUCCUUUAACCUCACAUCAUCAUGCAGCCAUACGGGUUCUACGCUACUUGAAGAAUCUUGGGCAAGGUUUGUUUUUCUCUGCAAAAUCUUCUCUUCAACUCAAAGUUUUUAGUGAGUCUGAUUGGGCCUCUUGUCUCUUAACUCGAUGGUGAGUUACCGGUUACUGUAUCUUUCUUGGUGACUCACUCAUUUGUUAGCGUUCAAAGAAGCAAACGAAUGUAUCGCGUCCGUCCUCUAAAGUCGAGUACAGAGCACUUUUUGCCAUUGUUUGUGAGCUAUAGUGGUUAACUUAUCUCAUUUGUGAUUUCUAGGUUUCCCUCAAAACCCCUGCAAUAUUAUUUUGUAACAGUAAAUCUGUCUGCAAAACAUUAUAAUCCAAGUUAUUUCAUCUCCUACCUAUUUCCUCCUCCGAGCAGCUUGCCAAGUUAUUUCAUCUCCUGCGCCGACGUAUUCACAGUACCUCUUGAUCCUCAAGAGAUCAUGUGCUUAUUGUCCACACUAGGAGUUCUUGACAUACACUCUCCAAUUUGUGGGGGCAUUAUAUACUUAAUUAUUAUUUAUUAGUCAAAUCUAAUUUAUUAAACCCAAUUUAUUUUGUUAAGUUCAUAUUUCUUAUAUUUUGUAAUUCUAUUUCUAGAUCCAUAUAUAUAUACUUUGAUUGUUUCCUUCGAUAAUAAGACAAGUAACCAAUUUAACCUACCUUAUCUUCAUCUUUGUAAGACAACUUCAAAUAGCAGAAAAAUAAAGUGCCAAGAGUAAACAAUAAUAACAUAAAGCUUUCUAACAAUAGAGAAGAUGUGAUAGCAUUUCAUUGAAAAGUAGAAUAACACGCUUGUUUAGGUCUGCACCAACACAAUUUUAAGAAACAACCGAGCAUAUGAACAAUACAUCCAAAGGAGCAACAAACCACAAAGAACACCAACAAAAUACGCCCAUGAAAACAAGAAUCUGAAAUAGAUUCUAGUAGUCGUCCAUAUCAUCUUCACCACCCUCGCCAGACUCAGCACCCACUUCUUCAUAAUCCUUUUCCAGAGCAGCAAGAUCUUCACGAGCUUCAGAAAACUCUCCUUCUUCCAUACCCUCACCCACAUACCAGUGGACAAAAGCACGCUUAGCAUACAUGAGAUCAAACUUGUGGUCAAUGCGACCAAACACCUCAGCUACACUUGUGGAGUUUGAAAUCAUGCAAACAGCUCUCUGUACCUUAGCAAGGUCACCUCCAGGAACAACGGUAGGUGGCUGAUAGUUAAUACCACACUUGAAACCAGUAGGGCACCAGUCUACAAACUGAAUGGUUCUCUUGGUUUUGAUGGUUGCAACAGCAGCAUUUACGUCUUUGGGAACAACAUCACCACGGUACAUCAAACAGCAUGCCAUGUACUUUCCAUGGCGAGGAUCACACUUGGCCAUCAUAGAUGAUGGCUCAAAAGCACUGUUGGUAAUUUCAGCAACUGAAAGCUGUUC
RNAcentral lists this long non-coding RNA (23954 nucleotides) under Cicer arietinum (chickpea). Its description in RNAcentral is "long non-coding RNA (CARI_LNC001069)". Lineage: Eukaryota; Viridiplantae; Streptophyta; Magnoliopsida; Fabales; Fabaceae. The record is from RNAcentral.